This 677-nucleotide long non-coding RNA is filed under the name Polistes fuscatus (common paper wasp). Its description in RNAcentral is "uncharacterized LOC122514492". The record is from RNAcentral. Lineage: Eukaryota; Metazoa; Arthropoda; Insecta; Hymenoptera; Vespidae.
AUGAAGGAAAAUAUAUUGAAUUUAUAUAAAAAAAAUUAUAUAUGUGUUAGAAUAAUUAAUUGGAGAAAGUAAAAAGCACGAGAGGGGGUUGAUGUAUUUUGUUUCUUCUCAAAAUAUACGAAUGAAUAAGAAAAUGUAGAAAAUUGGUGAAAAUAUUCAUUGUAAAAUCGAUCAUAUCUAUUCAGAUGUGACGAAUUGAAGAAAAUAAUUCUUACGAAAUCAUUAUCGAUAAUAUAAAAGGACAGGUGUAUUCGAUCGAUCUAUCGUUGAAUAAAGAUGCGAGUUGAAUGGUCGUUGGAGUUGUGGAUGGAAAAUGAGGUUAUUUGUCGAAAGAUACGUAUGAGGAAAUUUCGGCCCAUCGAUAAAGUUAUUUAUCAAAAAGAAAAAAAAAUUAGAAGAAGAGCAAAAAUUAAAGGGAGAAACAUUUGAUACAAUAUGUGGGUAAGAAGAGCCCACUGCUAAUGUGUAUCAGUAAUCCAAUUAUUUUCGCGGGAGGUGUUUUGACAGUUCAUAUACUUAAGCGGAAUGGUGCAGGCUAAGUUCGAAGGCUGAAAUACGCUUUUAAAUCCUCCCUAGCUCGUGUAGCCGAGAGGUAUAAGUGGGGUUAAGCUGGUAUGGUCGUGAGGUCGUGUCAAACACGAUUGUGCGAGGGAGAGAAGCAGAGAAGAAAAUAAAAA